AGCUUUGCGCAGUGGCGAUAUCGUAUCCAAUGAGGUUAUACCGAGGUGCGAUUAUUGCUAAUUAAAAAAAAUCCUAUUUAAUAACCCAUCAAACAUUAAGUCGUAUGAAUAGCUAUAAUUGGAGGCGAUAUACAUAC
Toxorhynchites rutilus septentrionalis is the source of this 137-nucleotide small nuclear RNA. RefSeq annotates it as U4 spliceosomal RNA. The transcript has a single exon. NCBI's taxonomy places the organism in Eukaryota, Metazoa, Arthropoda, Insecta, Diptera, Culicidae. The record is from RefSeq and is a predicted model, not a curated record.